AUGUUUCUGAUGCAGUCAGGGCCAAGAAACCCAUUGCAGGUGUGUGUGUGUUGUGUGUGUGUGUGGUGUGUACUGUGUGGUAUAUGUGUGUGUGUUGUGUGUGUGUGGUGUGCAUGUAUGUUGUGUGGUAUGUGGUGUGCAUGUGUGUUGUGUGGUAUGCAUUGUGUGUGUGGUAUGUGUGUGUCAUGUGUGUUGUGUGUUGUGUGGGGUGUGUGUUGUGUAUGGUGUGUGUGUGGUGUGUGUGCGUCAUGUGUGUGGUCUGUGUGUGGUGUAUGGUGUGUGUGCGUUGUGUGUGCAUGUGGUGUGUGUGUGUGUGUUGGGUAUGGUGUGAGUGCAUUGUGUGUGGUGUGUGUGCGUGUGUGUGUGGUAUGUGUGUGUCAUGUGUGUUGUGUAUAUGUGUGCAUUGUGUUUGCAUGUGGUGUGUGUCAUGGGUUGUGUAUGGUGUGUGUGUUGUGUGUGGUAUGUGUGUGUGUCAUGUGUGUUGUGUAUGCAUUGUUUGCAUGUGAUGUGUGUUCAUGUGUGUUGUGUAUGGUGUGUGUGCAUUGUGUGUGGUGUGUGUGUGUCAUGUGUGUUCUGUAUGGUGUGUGUUGUGUGUGUGGUAUGUGUUUCACGUGUGUUGUGUAUGGUGUAUGUGCGUGGUGUGUGCGUGUAUGGUGUGUGUGCGUUGUGUGCGUGUUGUGUCAUGUGUUGUGUAUGGUGUGUGCGUGUGUCAUGUGUGUGUUGUGUAUGUGUGUCAUGUGUGUUGUGUAUGGUGUGUGUACGUGGUAUGUGUGUGUCGUGUGUGUGUGGUGUAUGGUGUGUGUGAGUUGUGUGUGCGUGUGGUGUGUGUGCGUGUGGUAUGGGUGUGUCAUGUGUGUUGUGUAUGGUGUGUGCGCAUUGUGUGUGCGUGUUGUGUGUCAUGUGUGUUGUGUAUGGUGUGUGUGUGUUGUGUGUGGUAUGUGUGUGUUGUGUAUAAUGUGUGUGUGGUAUGUGUGUGUCAUGUGUGUUGUGUAUGGUGUGUGUGGUGUGUGUGCGUGUGGUGUGUGUGUGUGUCAUGUGUAUUGUGUGUGUCGUGUAUGGUGUGUGUGUGUGUUGUGUGUGUGUGCGUGUGUUGUGUGUAUGUGUGUGUGUCAGGGGUGGAUUACGCUGUGA
Molecule: long non-coding RNA, 1131 nt
Filed under: Bos indicus x Bos taurus (hybrid cattle)
Lineage: Eukaryota; Metazoa; Chordata; Mammalia; Artiodactyla; Bovidae
Description: lncRNA (ENSBIXG00005011959.1)
Source: RNAcentral